GGAUCGGUAGUUCAGUUGGUUAGAAUGCCGCCCUGUCACGGCGGAGGUCGCGGGUUCGAGUCCCGUCCGGUCCGC
Molecule: transfer RNA, 75 nt
Filed under: Chitinophaga terrae (ex Kim and Jung 2007)
Lineage: Bacteria; Pseudomonadati; Bacteroidota; Chitinophagia; Chitinophagales; Chitinophagaceae
Also listed under: 18 other names
Description: tRNA-Asp
Rfam family: tRNA
About the family: Transfer RNA (tRNA) molecules are approximately 80 nucleotides in length. Their secondary structure includes four short double-helical elements and three loops (D, anti-codon, and T loops).
Source: RNAcentral